CCCUUAGAUGUCCGGGGCCGCACGCGCGCUACACUGAAGGAAUCAGCGUGGCUUUCUCCCUGACCCGAAAGGGUUGGGAAACCCGUUGAAUCUCCUUCGUGAUAGGGAUUGGGGCUUGAAAUUGUUCCCCAUGAACGAGGAAUUCCCAGUAAGCGCGAGUCAUAAGCUCGCGUUGAUUACGUCCCUGCCCUUUGUACACACCGCCCGUCGCUACUACCGAUUGAACGGUUUAGUGAGGGCCUCGGAUUGGUCUCGGCCCGCUCUUUACCGGACGGCGCCGUUGGUCGAGAAGACGCUCGAACUUGAUCGUUUAGAGGAAGUAAAAGUCGUAACA
Molecule: ribosomal RNA, 334 nt
Filed under: uncultured eukaryote
Lineage: Eukaryota
Description: partial 18S ribosomal RNA
Rfam family: Eukaryotic small subunit ribosomal RNA
Source: RNAcentral